RNAcentral lists this ribosomal RNA (510 nucleotides) under Percus strictus. RNAcentral's name for it is "SSU rRNA". It matches the Rfam family "Eukaryotic small subunit ribosomal RNA", at positions 22 to 602 of the family's 1831-position model. The record is from RNAcentral. Lineage: Eukaryota; Metazoa; Arthropoda; Insecta; Coleoptera; Carabidae.
AGUCAUAUGCUUGUCUCAAAGAUUAAGCCAUGCAUGUCUAAGUACAAACUAAAUUAAAGUGAAACCGCGAAAGGCUCAUUAAAUCAGUUAUGGUUCCUUAGAUCGUACCACAAUUACUUGGAUAACUGUGGUAAUUCUAGAGCUAAUACAUGCAAACAGAGCUCUGACCGGAGACGGAAGGAGUGCUUUUAUUAGAUCAAAACUAAUCGGCGGCGGUAACGUUUCGGCGUUAUCGUUCGAUCUGCGCCUACCAUGGUUGUAACGGGUAACGGGGAAUCAGGGUUCGAUUCCGGAGAGGGAGCCUGAGAAACGGCUACCACAUCCAAGGAAGGCAGCAGGCGCGCAAAUUACCCACUCCCGGCACGGGGAGGUAGUGACGAAAAAUAACGAUACGGGACUCAUCCGAGGCCCCGUAAUCGGAAUGAGUACACUUUAAAUCCUUUAACAAGGACCAAUUGGAGGGCAAGUCUGGUGCCAGCAGCCGCGGUAAUUCCAGCUCCAAUAGCGUAU